GCUGGUGUAUGUGAUGACUUCUUUUCUUUCCCCAUCUGAGCGACAGUGUUGAGUCCUCACUUCUCUUCAAGCCAAGUCUUGUCUGAUGCACCAGC
Molecule: small nucleolar RNA, 95 nt
Organism: Crocodylus porosus (Australian saltwater crocodile)
Lineage: Eukaryota; Metazoa; Chordata; Crocodylia; Crocodylidae
Product: small nucleolar RNA, C/D box 12C
Source: Ensembl